RNAcentral lists this unclassified non-coding RNA (239 nucleotides) under Hevea brasiliensis (rubber tree). The record is from RNAcentral. Lineage: Eukaryota; Viridiplantae; Streptophyta; Magnoliopsida; Malpighiales; Euphorbiaceae.
GCACUCAAGAUAGAAAUCCUGUUACUUCCUGCCCACAACUUCACAGGAUUUGAGAACGUCAAUUUCGGGUGUUCCAGAGCACCAUAAACAGUCCCUGUGAGUUGGCCGUUGAUAUAAACCUGCAAAGAAUGGCCAGCUGAGUAUACUGUAAGGACUGGUAAAUGGCCGUUCUUUAAAAAUUGUUCAUUUUGACCUAUGUUGACAACUGUUGUGUACCACAAGUAGUCUGUACGAUCUCU